Molecule: small RNA, 77 nt
Filed under: Xanthomonas oryzae
Lineage: Bacteria; Pseudomonadati; Pseudomonadota; Gammaproteobacteria; Lysobacterales; Lysobacteraceae
Description: sX9
Rfam family: Xanthomonas sRNA sX9
Source: RNAcentral
AUGUACCUCGCUUACAAAGCGGUUCCUAUGGGCCGUCCACGCCCACCUGACGACUGCUCGCCAGGUUUUGGCUAGCG